CUAAAUGACUCUCGGCAACGGAUAUCUCGGCUCUUGCAUCGAUGAAGAACGUAGCGAAAUGCGAUACUUGGUGUGAAUUGCAGAAUCCCGUGAACCAUCGAGUCUUUGAACGCAAGUUGCGCCUGAAGCCACCAGGUUGAAGGCACGUCUGCCUGGGCGUCACGCAU
Molecule: ribosomal RNA, 167 nt
Filed under: Erica woodii
Lineage: Eukaryota; Viridiplantae; Streptophyta; Magnoliopsida; Ericales; Ericaceae
Description: 5.8S ribosomal RNA
Rfam family: 5.8S ribosomal RNA
About the family: 5.8S ribosomal RNA (5.8S rRNA) is a component of the large subunit of the eukaryotic ribosome.
Source: RNAcentral